RNAcentral lists this small nuclear RNA (24 nucleotides) under Arabidopsis thaliana (thale cress). Its description in RNAcentral is "snRNA_07972". Lineage: Eukaryota; Viridiplantae; Streptophyta; Magnoliopsida; Brassicales; Brassicaceae. The record is from RNAcentral.
ACUUCUGUUAAAGGAUAUAUCUGA